Oncorhynchus keta (chum salmon) is the source of this 570-nucleotide long non-coding RNA. RefSeq lists it as uncharacterized. The transcript has 3 exons. The record is from RefSeq and is a predicted model, not a curated record. Lineage: Eukaryota; Metazoa; Chordata; Actinopteri; Salmoniformes; Salmonidae.
CUGGGCCAGCUAGGCAUUAUGGGGACUGGGCCAGGUAGGCAUUAUGGGGACUGGGCCAGGUAGGCAUUAUGGAGACUGGGCCAGGUAGGCAUUAUGGGGACUGGGCCAGGUAGGCAUUAUGGGGACUGGGCCAGGUAGGCAUUAUGGGGACUGGGCCAGGUAGGCAUUAUGGGGACUGGGCCAGGUAGGCAUUAUGGGGACUGGGCCAGGUAGGCAUUAUGGGGACUGGGCCAGGUAGGCAUUAUGGGGACUGGGCCAGGUAGGCAUUAUGGGGACUGGGCCAGGUAGGCAUUAUGGGGACUGGGCCAGGUAGGCAUUAUGGGGACUGGGCCAGGUAGGCAUUAUGGGGACUGGGCCAGGUAGGCAUUAUGGGGACUGGGCCAGGUAGGCAUUAUGGGGACCGGGCCAGGUAAGCAUUAUGGGGACCGGGCCAGGUAAGCAUUAUGGGGACCGGGCCAGGUAAGCAUUAUGGGGACCGGGCCAGGUAAGCAUUAUGGGGACCGGGCCAGGUAAGCAUUAUGGGGGGACCGGGCCAGGUAAGCAUUAUGGGGGGACCGGGCCAGGUAAGCA